Molecule: long non-coding RNA, 166 nt
Organism: Lontra canadensis (Northern American river otter)
Lineage: Eukaryota; Metazoa; Chordata; Mammalia; Carnivora; Mustelidae
Exons: 3
Source: RefSeq, a predicted model, not a curated record
AAACGAUGUGCAAAACUUGACCUGUUUCCUGAGGUUGAUAUAAGUCAGCCAGCCUCAAACCCUUCUGCAAGAGCUCUGCAUUAGCAAACCAAGCUGGUUCCAAGCAUCCCUUUCCUCACAAGCGGUCUUGUUGGGCUCCAGCAACUGCCCCCUCCCUUUGUACCUG